Molecule: unclassified non-coding RNA, 327 nt
Filed under: soil metagenome
Description: partial contains 5.8S ribosomal RNA, internal transcribed spacer 2, and large subunit ribosomal RNA
Rfam family: 5.8S ribosomal RNA (bases 5-119)
Source: RNAcentral
GAUGAGAACGUAGCGAAAUGCGAUAAGUAAUGUGAAUUGCAGAAUUCAGUGAAUCAUCGAAUCUUUGAACGCACAUUGCGCCCCUUGGUAUUCCGAGGGGCAUGCCCGUUCGAGCGUCAUUAUACCCCUCAAGCCUAGCUUGGUGUUGGGGCCUGCUGUUACCGGCAGCCCUUAAAAUCAGUGGCGGUGCCAUCUGGCUCUAAGCGUAGUAAUACUUCUCGCUACAGGGUCCCGGUGGAUGCUUGCCAUCAACCCCUAAUUUUCUAUGGUUGACCUCGGAUCGGGUAGGGAUACCCGCUGAACUUAAGCAUAUCAAUAAGCGGAGGA